Molecule: long non-coding RNA, 557 nt
Filed under: Pongo abelii (Sumatran orangutan)
Lineage: Eukaryota; Metazoa; Chordata; Mammalia; Primates; Hominidae
Description: lincRNA
Source: RNAcentral
UGAGGAAGGAAUUUGUCUCAGUCCACUUCCACACCUGUCCGCCUGAGCUGGGCCUUAGCCUGAACCUCUGCCUCUGUAUGGAUCCCUGAGUUUGAGUUUUAUGCAAUUUCUUGUAUAAGAGGAGAGCCUGAGUCCAUGGAAGUUGGGAUUGAACAUCCUGAAUAUGCAGUUCCUUGGAGAGCCACCAAUAAAAGACCUAAGCAAGAGACAUGAUGUCACCUUCGGGGAGGAGGCUCUUCAGCUGUCUGGCACGAGAGGAGGAGGAAUGAGGAGGAUCACUGGCCUUGAACCCCCGAGAGGCUAGAGCACCUUUCUGGGACCCAGUCCAGGGUUUGUCUUGAACAUCCAGCUCCAAAAGAGAUGUUGUGCAGAUUCAAGCUGCCAAGUCCUGAAGGACCUGAGGGAAAACCCAACCCCAAGCAGCCCAGAUGGUAUCUGGGUGUCCUGUGCCCUACCCACGAAGAUCAGGAGCCUAAAGUCUAGAGCUCGCUGCAGAACCAGACCAAAGACAGUUUAAGGGCCACUGAGCCAAGCCUUCCCGACCUCCCAUGGAGAGG